This 394-nucleotide ribosomal RNA is filed under the name uncultured bacterium. RNAcentral's name for it is "bacterial SSU rRNA". It matches the Rfam family "Bacterial small subunit ribosomal RNA", at positions 30 to 428 of the family's 1533-position model. The record is from RNAcentral.
AUUGAACGCUGGCGGCAUGCCUUACACAUGCAAGUCGAACGGCAGCGGACCUUCGGGUGCCGGCGAGUGGCGAACGGGUGAGUAAUAUAUCGGAACGUACCUUUCAGUGGGGGAUAACGUAGCGAAAGUUACGCUAAUACCGCAUAUUCUGCGAGCAGGAAAGCAGGGGAUCGCAAGACCUUGCGCUGAUUGAGCGGCCGAUAUCAGAUUAGCUAGUUGGUGAGGUAAAGGCUCACCAAGGCGACGAUCUGUAGCGGGUCUGAGAGGAUGAUCCGCCACACUGGAACUGAGACACGGUCCAGACUCCUACGGGAGGCAGCAGUGGGGAAUUUUGGACAAUGGGCGCAAGCCUGAUCCAGCCAUGCCGCGUGAGUGAAGAAGGCCUCGGUUGUAA